Molecule: long non-coding RNA, 432 nt
Filed under: Androctonus crassicauda
Lineage: Eukaryota; Metazoa; Arthropoda; Arachnida; Scorpiones; Buthidae
Source: RNAcentral
UCAGAGACAGUAUAAAAGAGACAACUCAUAAGGAGAGAAAGAAAGAGAGUAAUUAUGAAGCUUCUCUCAUUAGAAAAACAACAGCAUGGGCCCGUGGGAACGAUCUAACAUUCACGAGAGAGGAUAAAACGAGAAAGAUGGUGUUAAUGCACAAAGAUACUUAUGAUGGCUGUUUUGCAAGAUUACAUAGAGAAGGCAGAGCCUCUCCGCAUAAAAGAGGAUUCAACGAAGAAGUUGGCGAAGGCAGUAGACAGACUAGUGAAGAAUAACGCCUUUCCCCAGGUGUGGAAACACGAAGAUCCCAGACCCCGCUUGCCCGAGACUUUUUGCGUUCAUGGGGACGCGCGGGCGCCCUGUCGCCGCUGGGCCCGUGGUUGAGGGGCUAGGGGCGCCCGCGUGUGGCCUGGAGGGAACUUUGGCUGGGUGGUGUAU